Molecule: ribosomal RNA, 244 nt
Filed under: uncultured bacterium
Lineage: Bacteria
Description: partial 16S ribosomal RNA
Rfam family: Bacterial small subunit ribosomal RNA
Source: RNAcentral
UGGCGACCGGCGCACGGGUGCGUAACGCGUAUGCAACCUACCUUUAACAGGGGGAUAACACUGAGAAAUUGGUACUAAUACCCCAUAAUAUCAUAGAAGGCAUCUUUUAUGGUUGAAAAUUCCGAUGGUUAAAGAUGGGCAUGCGUUGUAUUAGCUAGUUGGUGAGGUAACGGCUCACCAAGGCAACGAUACAUAGGGGGACUGAGAGGUUAACCCCCCACAUUGGUACUGAGACACGGACCAA